Molecule: ribosomal RNA, 467 nt
Filed under: uncultured bacterium
Lineage: Bacteria
Description: partial 16S ribosomal RNA
Rfam family: Bacterial small subunit ribosomal RNA
Source: RNAcentral
GAUGAACGCUGGCGGCGUGCUUAACACAUGCAAGUCGAACGGAAAGGCCCAAGCUUGCUUGGGUACUCGAGUGGCGAACGGGUGAGUAACACGUGGGUGAUCUGCCCUGCACUUCGGGAUAAGCCUGGGAAACUGGUCUAAUACCGGAUAGGACGAUGGUUUGGCUGCCAUUGUGGAAAGUUUUUUCGGUGUGGGAUGAGCUCGCGGCCUAUCAGCUUGUUGGUGGGGUAAUGGCCUACCAAGGCGUCGACGGGUAGCCGGCCUGAGAGGGUGUACGGCCACAUUGGGACUGAGAUACGGCCCAGACUCCUACGGGAGGCAGCAGUGGGGAAUAUUGCACAAUGGGCGCAAGCCUGAUGCAGCGACGCCGCGUGGGGGAUGACGGCCUUCGGGUUGUAAACUCCUUUCGCUAGGGACGAAGCGUUUUUGUGACGGUACCUGGAGAAGAAGCACCGGCUAACUACGUG